CUCGAUGUACCAACUCAGCUAACCCUUGGAAGGAAAGCAUACGUUUCAUUGGUUCUGUGCAGUCGGCCACGUUGCCCACAGAAGACGCCAUCUGGAGCUUCUGGAGAGAAUACUGGCACCAAACUUUCAAACAAUAAGAACCUUCCCAUAAGUCCCUUGCCAGGCAAGAUUAAGGUAUAACAAUCCAAACAGAUUUUUGAAGUAGAUAACUGGUUGAAAGCACAGGAAAAGAGCUGGGUUGCUCUUUUUCAACAGUCACAUAAUGAGUAAUGUGGGAAUUGGUUUACAAAGUCUCUCUCCAUGAGGGGCUAAGGUUAAGAUUAGAACUUCUGAGGCCAGAAGAGCAAAAUAACUACAACAACACACAUAUUUUCAAGAGCCGCCCUUUGGAUGUGAGGGAUUGAUUUUUCCCACGAUUUUUUCAGCAGCCCACCUGGUGUCUUUAGUAAAUGACAUAAGAGAAUACAGUGUGGCCAAGAAGGCUUAGAUUUCCUUAGCCCCAAGUCAGAUAUUCUCAAGUGACUGUCCACUCAAAUUAAAAAGAGAGAUUUACAAGAGGAAACUGGA
Aethalodelphis obliquidens (Pacific white-sided dolphin) is the source of this 567-nucleotide long non-coding RNA. RefSeq lists it as uncharacterized. The transcript is spliced from 2 exons. NCBI's taxonomy places the organism in Eukaryota, Metazoa, Chordata, Mammalia, Artiodactyla, Delphinidae. The record is from RefSeq and is a predicted model, not a curated record.